UCGGGAAUUUUGGGCAAUGGGCGAAAGCCUGACCCCGCAACGCCGCGUGAAGGAUGAAGUCUCUCGGGAUGUAAACUUCGUAAGAAUAGGAAGAAUAAAUGACGGUACUAUUUAUAAGGUCCGGCUAACUACGUGCCAGCAGCCGCGGUAAUACGUAGGGACCAAGCGUUGUUCGGAUUUACUGGGCGUAAAGGGCGCGUAGGCGGCAUGACAAGUCACCUGUGAAAUCUCUGGGCUUAACCCAGAACGGCCAAGUGAUACUGUCGCGCUAGAGUGCAGAAGGGGCAAUCGGAAUUCUUGGUGUAGCGGUGAAAUGCGUAGAUAUCAAGAGGAACACCUGAGGUGAAGACGGGUUGCUGGGCUGACACUGACGCUGAGGCGCGAAAGCCAGGGGAGCAAACGGGAUUAGAUACCCUGGUAGUCCCUGAGCGGGCUGGCAAGGCGCAU
This 447-nucleotide ribosomal RNA is filed under the name uncultured bacterium. Its description in RNAcentral is "bacterial SSU rRNA". It matches the Rfam family "Bacterial small subunit ribosomal RNA", at positions 355 to 825 of the family's 1533-position model. The record is from RNAcentral.